RNAcentral lists this non-coding RNA (21 nucleotides) under Caenorhabditis elegans. Lineage: Eukaryota; Metazoa; Nematoda; Chromadorea; Rhabditida; Rhabditidae. The record is from RNAcentral.
UGGAAAAAGAUAAUCAAACAG